CAGUCGCCGCGGUAAUACGAAGGGUGCAAGCGUUGCUCGGAAUUACUGGGCGUAAAGGGCGCGUAGGCGGACAGUUCAGUCGGGGGUGAAAGCCCGGGGCUCAACCUCGGAAUUGCCUUCGAUACUGGCUGCCUUGAGUAUGAGAGAGGUGUGUGGAACUCCGAGUGUAGAGGUGAAAUUCGUAGAUAUUCGGAAGAACACCAGUGGCGAAGGCGACACACUGGCUCAUUACUGACGCUGAGGCGCGAAAGCGUGGGGAGCAAACAGGAUUAGAUACCCGAGUAGUCCCUGUCUCUUAUAC
This 301-nucleotide ribosomal RNA is filed under the name uncultured bacterium. RNAcentral describes it as "partial 16S ribosomal RNA". It matches the Rfam family "Bacterial small subunit ribosomal RNA", at positions 509 to 807 of the family's 1533-position model. The record is from RNAcentral.